This 645-nucleotide long non-coding RNA is filed under the name Nicotiana benthamiana. Its description in RNAcentral is "long non-coding RNA (NBEN_LNC020128)". Lineage: Eukaryota; Viridiplantae; Streptophyta; Magnoliopsida; Solanales; Solanaceae. The record is from RNAcentral.
CCUAUUAUCAUUUCAGAGUGCCACGAGCCUCAUCUUGUUGUCAACGCAGGGUACACCAUCCCUUGGUUGCAUUAUUUUUUGUCAACACAUGGUACAACAUCCCCUGGUUGUCUCAUCUUGUUGUCAACACAGGGUACACCAUCCCCUGGUUGCAUUAUUUUCUGUCAACACAGGGUACACAAUCCCCUAGUUGCAUUAUUUUCUGUCACCACAGGGUACACCAUCCCCUAGAUGCAUUAUUUUCUGUCAAAGCAGGGUGCACCAUUCCCUAGUUGCAUUAUUUUCUGUCAACACAAGGUACACCAUCCCCUGGUUGCAUUAUUUUCUGUUAAUACAGCGUACAACAUCCUCGGGUUGUCUCAUCUUGUUGUCAACACAGGGUACACCAUCCCCUGGUUGCAAUAUUUUUUGUCAACACAGCGUACGACAUCCCCUGAUUGAAUUAUUUUCUACAUAGGGUAUAACAUUCCCUAGUAGCAUUUCAAAGUACCACGAGCCUCAUCUUGUUGUCAACACAUGGUACACCAUCCCCUAGUUGCAUUAUCUUCUGUCAACACAGGAUACACCAUCCCCUGGUUGCAAUAUUUUCUGUCAACACAGGGUACAACAUCCCCUGGUUGUCUCAUCUUGUUGUCAACACAGGGU